CUUUUCUUCUUCUUUCCUUAUCCUAUUCUUCUUCUUCUUGUUCUCUUCUUCUUGUUCUUCUUUUCUUCUCCUCUUCAUCAUCUUUUCUUCUUCUUCUUUUUCUUCUUCUUCUUUUCUUCUUCUUCUUCUUCUUCUUGUUCUUGUUCUUCUUCUUCUUUUCUUCUUCUUCUUGUUCUUCAUCCUUAUUUUCCUUUUUCUUCUUCUUUCUUCUCCUCU
RNAcentral lists this long non-coding RNA (216 nucleotides) under Hordeum vulgare. Its description in RNAcentral is "long non-coding RNA (HVUL_LNC009900)". Lineage: Eukaryota; Viridiplantae; Streptophyta; Magnoliopsida; Poales; Poaceae. The record is from RNAcentral.